RNAcentral lists this unclassified non-coding RNA (4431 nucleotides) under Leishmania donovani. RNAcentral describes it as "gene:LdHU3.23.2070(CDS-product:hypothetical_prote in_conserved)". The record is from RNAcentral. Lineage: Eukaryota; Euglenozoa; Kinetoplastea; Trypanosomatida; Trypanosomatidae.
ACGCGUACAACAACACCAAACUCAGACACGGCGGCUGCUCCCUCUGUCUUUGGGCGACUGGGACACGGCGCCCGAGUCUGCGAGUGUGUCGACGAGCACGGCCUCUCUCCCUUCUCUCUCUCUCACACACACAUACACACACGCAGAGGGACUCCUUGCGCACAGAACUAGAUUUGCACACACAGUAGGAUAGAAGCGGCAACUCCUGCGCGGCUUGAGGCCACACUGAGAGCAGCAGAAUUCAAGGAAGCCCCAGAAGGCUUUGGCGGAUUGCGAGGACACACGCCAGAGAAACGAGAAGAGAGGUGGACAGCAUAAAAAGAGCCACUUGUUGUGCUCGGCACCUCACGCGUCUCUGUCUGAUUCCUCGUAGGCACUGCGUAUGCAUGCGUACCUGCUCCAGACAGCGCGCACUCAAAGCGGCUCACCCGUGUGCUGCUGCUGACGGCCGCCCCGAUGCGGCUGUGUCGCCCAGCGCUUUUUUCGCCGGCUACUGCGGCUCACCCCAUUCUCGGCUCCCUGCGGCGGCACCGUGGAUGCGGGCUGUGUGGUGGCACGGUGCGCGCAGUGUGCUGGCGUAGUAGCACGCGUGCAUCUGGCCAAGGGCGCCGUCCGCCCUCCAACAGCUCUUUCGUGGAGCCGACGCUGGCGACGUCUGUGCAGCCGGAUGACGGCAGCAAAGCCUCUGCGCCCGCAAUUUCUGCACCACCAGCAGCGACCUCAUCGUCCAUCACCGGCGAUGCGUCUGCGCCUGCGAAGGGCUGCCCUUACCCCGCUGCCUCUGCUGCUGAUGUGCUCCUCUCGCUGAACCACACGCAGCGUCUCCUGCGCCGGUUGCCAGUGGGUGCAUCCCGCUUUCUCUUCCACUACAACGAGCUACCCUCCAACAUACGUGACAAGAUGCCGCUGGUAGUGCAGCAGCAGCAGCAUAGGGCCCGAGGGAGCUCGAAGGAACAGGGACACACCACCAACGCUGCGGCGCCAACACCGGCAUCAGCGCCCGAACAGGGUGCUUUGGCGUCGGCGGAGACUCCAACUGCUGGUGACGCGCCUGGGCGUCGCUCAGGCACCGCUGACUACUCGCGGCUGCUCACUCUGGCUCAGCCUAAGCUGACCGCGUCGGAGAAGACCCUCUUAGCCCUCUUCAGAGGCGCGCAGAAGGAGCGACAACUCGUGAGGCAGCAGCGGCUCAAGGAGCGGCACGGUCGGCUCGUCAUGGAGGGAGGUGGGCGGCGGUCGAGCACCACGCCAAGAUUUGCACCGUCCCUCGUCACCGACCCGCUUCUCCACCUACGCGGCUUGGAGGAGCCGUGCCUGCUCAUCCCCGACACGCGCGGCACUUUCGUGUCCCUCGGAUUGGCAGCCGACUUGCACUCCACCACCGACGCUCCAACUUACCCUACAUCCGCGAGAGCGACUCCCGACGCAGCCAUAAUGGACGGCUUCCAUCUUGGUCUCGCGUGCAUCUCCACUGACUACCGAACCGACUAUGCAAGUCUCCCCCUGUACUACGUGCUCGGUGUUCCGACGGCGCUACUCGGCCUUCUGCGGUCGAGCCCCUCGGUUGGCAAGCAUGAGUUUCACGGAAGUAAAAUCAGGGAUGGGGUGAUCGACAGCGGCGCGUGCACGUGGCGCAAUCGGUGCCAGGCGCCGGUGGAUCUCUCCCGGUGGCUCGUGUUUGACAUAGCCACGUCGCAGGUGCUGCUGCGGCGUCGCGGCGUGCCGCGCACAGAUGAGCCACCGGUGUCCCGCUACGUAUCCGCGCUGGAGGCGCAGGUCUUUCUCGCACACACGUACAGCUUUGACCCUAGGAGCGCUUACGAGGCGGCAGUUCUUCAGGCACGAGUGCCGGCUCAGCCAUCAGCACCGACUGCAGGAUACCGCGCAUCAGCAAGCGCGGCGGCACCGUCCACGAUGAGGAUGAUGUCGCCGCCACUCUACACUCUCUUCUUCUUCACUGUGGCGCGAGGCCAGACGACGACCAACUCCGGCGUCUCUCCCAUUGAUGCGGGGGUGCUCUACCCGACGUGCUUCUCCAGCUACAUGUCGGAGGUGCCGACGACACAGCAGCUGGCAGCUGAAACGGCGGCAGCCGCACAGCGGCUUUGCUUACACCAUGCCGACGCUUCUGAGCCCCUCAUGUUGCUGUCGUCCGCCACGGGUUCCGGCGCUGCGGACAACUCCUCCUUCUUUGUGUCGAUGUCCGGCAAGCGGCUGCGUGCGUGUGCCGGCGCCUCUUCGUCUACAUCCGCGAAUCUAUGGACGGCGCAGCUGCAGAGUCGGAAGCUCGGAGUCAUGGGCGACCCCGCUACCGAGCCUUCCUCAUCGCCUAUCGCGAAGCAGGCGGCACAGAUGACAAAAUAUAGAGCAGCGACGGAAUCCUCUGCUCCCAGGGACCAGGACAGACGAGGCUUGUGUCGGCAAACCACGGCGCGCCAGGAGAUGGCCGAAAGUUUUCGCAUGUGGCGGGAGGCCGUGGCUGCCCGCGUGCCUUCGCCACGCCCGCGUACCUCUACCGGUGCGGCGGCAGUUGCAGAGGACAGCGACCGCUCACAGACACCACCACCCAUGACGGAUGGGCAGCAGCGUCUACCAGCACCAUCACCUCGUCCAGUGCAUCCACGGCAGAUGAGCAAGCCGACAGACUCCGCGCCCUUGUCGCCUGCAUCAUGUGGGCAAGGAAGGGAGGAGGGCCACCGAUUGCGACUGGAGGAGCAACUCGAUACGGAGGGCGCAGCGCUCAUGUCUGAUGGCGGAGCCUUCACCCAAGAGUGGAGCACUGGCUUCCGCUUCGGUCGAGUGGCCAUCGAGGUGGCAGUGCCACUGCUCUUUCCAAUGCCGGCAGUGAUGGCAGACGCAGCGGCGGCUCCCAGCCCUCUGUCACCAGCGCUCUGGGGGGCGCAGGCGAGCGGCGCCGAUGCGGCCGUAGAUGCCCCCGUACGUGUCAUAGACGCACCUUUGGCGGACGCUCUGUGGAGUGCUCUCUACACACCCGCAGCCGCCACCUCGGCGUCACCACCGACUCCGUCGACGCCCUUCAGCUCACCUCCCUCGUUCUUCUCUACUACACCUGACGCCGCCGCCGCCGAGCCAGUCAUGACCUCCGUCCUCCCCACGGCGGAGGAGCGCCUCAUGCUUGCCCGUGAGCGGGUACUGCUACCGUUCCUGCUGCAUCAGCCGCGGUGGGUGCUGCCGGGCAGCGACUCGCUUGGCGCGCUUCCUUCCUCGUCGUCAAGGGUGUCAGACACCGACGACGGUCCGCGGGCUGUCCGUGAGCGCAACAGGCGGCCCCCAGUGAAUGUGUGCCCGUCCCUGUGGCGUCUUCAUGAGUUGGAGCAGUUGUGCGGCUGGCGGCGCCAUCGCUUGCUAUUCAACGACGUCUUCGGCAGCUUCUCGGGCUUGCUUAUCCACGAUCUUUACAUCAUGAUCGGUCGACGGGCACCGGCGAUGCUGCCGGGCUCCAUCUCUGCAACGACUGCAAGGGCGCGGCAGGCGGACAGGCCGCAGGCACCGCUGUCUCCACUUGUUCUGCUCAACGACGUGGCGUAUGUGGAGAGGGUACUGCUGCCGGCGAUGCGCUGCUUUGCGGUCAACACGUGCACGUGGGUGGACAGCGGCCUCUGCGUAUAUCGAUCGCCGUACGAGGUGGUGCCCACGGCGAGGCGCUACGUGGUCGAAGGCGACUUUGCCGCGAGCAAGAAGCCUAGCACUCCAUCAUUGUCAUGUGUCGCACCCCAGCAGUGGCGCUCGCCGGCGUCGUGCGACGGUGAUCCGGCCGACUCGCCCGCGGAAACCGCGGCGGAAGUCGCGCUGCACCACCGGCAGCUGUCGCUCUGGCUGCAGCAGCUGCAGCGCGUCCCACACGAGUUCCUCAGACGGUGGCUGGCGGAGUGCCACGGCCGCACGUCUUUGGACCCAGCAGUGGACGCUCGAGUGAGGAUGAGGACCGGCGGGGUACCAGCAGCGUGUCUCGUGUUCUUCGUCGGCUCAUGCUCCAGUGCAGCGUCGACGCUGUCGUCACGCCCCUCACGGACUCCGCACGGCGGCGACGAUGACGAUCUCGGAGACAGCGGCGCAGUUGCCGCUUCUGCCGAGGCAGUAGAGAAAGGCCUUGAGCGCCUUCUCUCUCUCACCCCUGAUCGCAUUGCUGUAGUCCCGCUGUUGGAUUUCGUGGUGUGGGGCGCGCUGUGCUCCGACUUCUCCGCCGCCUCCGUGCAACACCUCACACACGCCGCGGAUAGAUGCCGUGCGGCGCUUGACGCCCCCGCAGAUGGCUUGGCGGCGGUGAAGUACUGCGUGCGCUACCCUCGACACCUCUGCUGUAACGGCGGCCGAGGAACGACAGUGGCGCUUCUCCGCUGAGCGGCAUGACUGCUGUGACGUUGACGUGUGUGUGGAUGACUUUGAGUGUUCACAUUUUCAGAACGGCAU